UACGAAGGGGGCUAGCGUUGCUCGGAAUCACUGGGCGUAAAGGGUGCGUAGGCGGGUCUUUAAGUCAGGGGUGAAAUCCUGGAGCUCAACUCCAGAACUGCCUUUGAUACUGAGAAUCUUGAGUUCGGGAGAGGUGAGUGGAACUGAGAGUGUAGAGGUGAAAUUCGUAGAUAUUCGCAAGAACACCAGUGGCGAAGGCGGCGCACUGGCCCGAUACUGACGCUGAGGCACGAAAGCGUGGGGAGCAAACAGG
RNAcentral lists this ribosomal RNA (253 nucleotides) under uncultured bacterium. RNAcentral describes it as "partial 16S ribosomal RNA". It matches the Rfam family "Bacterial small subunit ribosomal RNA", at positions 524 to 776 of the family's 1533-position model. The record is from RNAcentral.